AAUAAUGCAAAAUAUCUGACUUCCACUCCUGUCUCCCCCAAAACCCCAAGAUUAAUUUGGCUGAUCCGAUCAAGCAGGUGUCUGUUUUCUAUUUCAUUGCUCCGUGCACCGCCCUUCUGCACCCGUGACUUUCUCAAAGGGGAUGCUCUUCGCGGAGACUCGGGGGACAUUUCUUCUGCAAAGGAUAUAUGAGAAGCUGGGUUUCUCUGCAGGAAGCUCCAAAUGUGUUUUUAGGGGCUAUUUGUGGGAGAACAUGAGAGAGAAUUGCCAGAGAGAAAAAAACCUUUAAUGUUCAUCAGUUAUACAGAGAGCGUGUGAUGAUAAUU
RNAcentral lists this small nuclear RNA (326 nucleotides) under Loxodonta africana (African savanna elephant). RNAcentral describes it as "7SK RNA (ENSLAFG00000033265.1)". It matches the Rfam family "7SK RNA". Rfam says of the family: 7SK was discovered as an abundant small nuclear RNA in the mid-70s but a possible function has only recently been suggested. Two independent studies have found that 7SK RNA binds the CDK9/cyclin T complex (known as elongation factor P-TEFb). Lineage: Eukaryota; Metazoa; Chordata; Mammalia; Proboscidea; Elephantidae. The record is from Rfam by way of RNAcentral.